ACACAAGAAGGGAGGUGGUCCGGAAAAUUGAUAGCUUCUAGGACAUGUGAGGUGGCUGCCCGCUAGCAGCACCAGGUGCAUGGAAUCACCUACGCCUUGAGCGCGCUGGCGAAUUCCAGGCAGCUACCCGGCCCCCGAGCUCUUGGUUAGUCCGACCAAGGAAAACGGCUCGGGGGCCGCCCCAU
Molecule: non-coding RNA, 185 nt
Organism: Mycobacterium sp. EPa45
Lineage: Bacteria; Bacillati; Actinomycetota; Actinomycetes; Mycobacteriales; Mycobacteriaceae
Source: Rfam